GAUGAAGAACGCAGCGAAACGCGAUAAGUAAUGUGAAUUGCAGAAUUUAGUGAAUCAUCGAACUUUUGAACGCACAUUGCGCCCGCCGGCACUCCGGCGGGCAUGCCUGUCCGAGCGUCAUUUCAACCCUCAGGCCCGAACCCCCCCGGGGGGGGCGGGCCUGGUGUUGGGGCUCGGGGUCCGCGAGGCCCCCGUCCCCUAAAUCCAGUGGCGGUCGCGCCGCACCCUCCCCUGCGUAGUAGCACACCUCGCACCGGAGNGCAGCGCGUCCACGCCGUGAAACCCCCAAUUUACCAAGGUUGACCUCGGAUCAGGUAGGAAUACCCGCUGAACUUAAGCAUAUCAAUAAGCGGAGGA
RNAcentral lists this unclassified non-coding RNA (357 nucleotides) under soil metagenome. RNAcentral describes it as "partial contains 5.8S ribosomal RNA, internal transcribed spacer 2, and large subunit ribosomal RNA". The stretch from base 1 to 120 matches the Rfam family "5.8S ribosomal RNA", at positions 35 to 154 of the family's 154-position model. The record is from RNAcentral.